RNAcentral lists this ribosomal RNA (435 nucleotides) under uncultured Anaerovorax sp. Its description in RNAcentral is "bacterial SSU rRNA". It matches the Rfam family "Bacterial small subunit ribosomal RNA", at positions 341 to 792 of the family's 1533-position model. The record is from RNAcentral. Lineage: Bacteria; Bacillati; Bacillota; Clostridia; Peptostreptococcales; Anaerovoracaceae.
ACGGGAGGCAGCAGUAGGGAAUCUUGCACAAUGGGCGAAAGCCUGAUGCAGCAACGCCGCGUGAAGGAUGAAGGUCUUUGGAUCGUAAACUUCUGUCCUUGGGGAAGAAGAUCUGACGGUACCCUUGGAGGAAGCCCCGGCUAACUACGUGCCAGCAGCCGCGGUAAUACGUAGGGGGCAAGCGUUAUCCGGAAUUAUUGGGCGUAAAGAGUACGUAGGUGGUUUCUUAAGCGUGGGGUCUAAGGCUAUGGCUUAACCAUAGUUCGCCCCUCGAACUGGGAGACUUGAGUGUAGGAGGGGAAAGCGGAAUUCCUAGUGUAGCGGUGAAAUGCUUAGAUAUUAGGAGGAACACCAGUGGCGAAGGCGGCUUUCUGGACUAUUACUGACACUGAGGUACGAAAGCGUGGGGAGCAAACAGGAUUAGAUACCCUGGUA